UGGGGAAUCUUGCACAAUGGGGGAAACCCUGAUGCAGCGACGCCGCGUGAGCGAUGAAGGUUUUCGAAUCGUAAAGCUCUGUCCUAUGGGAAGAUAAUGACGGUACCAUGGGAGGAAGCCCCGGCUAACUACGUGCCAGCCGCCGCGGUAAUACGUAGGGGGCGAGCGUUGUCCGGAAUUACUGGGCGUAAAGGGUUCGCAGGCGGCAUGGCAAGUCCGAUGUAAAAGGCGAAGGCUCAACCUUCGUAAGCAUCGGAAACUGUCAAGCUUGAGUGAAGGAGAGGCAAGUGGAAUUCCUAGUGUAGCGGUGGAAUGCGUAGAUAUUAGGAGGAAUACCGGUGGCGAAGGCGACUUGCUGGGCUUCAACUGACGCUGAGGAACGAAAGCGUGGGUAGCAAACAGG
This 403-nucleotide ribosomal RNA is filed under the name Fusobacteriota bacterium. RNAcentral's name for it is "Fusobacteria bacterium partial 16S ribosomal RNA". It matches the Rfam family "Bacterial small subunit ribosomal RNA", at positions 355 to 776 of the family's 1533-position model. Lineage: Bacteria; Fusobacteriati; Fusobacteriota. The record is from RNAcentral.